UACGUAGGGGGCAAGCGUUGUCCGGAUUUAUUGGGCGUAAAGCGCUCGCAGGUGGUCCGAUGCGUCGUGCGUGAAAGACCCCGGCUCAACUGGGGGGCGUCGUGCGAUACGGUCGGACUGGAGGCCAGUAGGGGGAUGCGGAAUUCCGGGUGUAGUGGUGGAAUGCGUAGAGAUCCGGAGGAACACCAGCGGCGAAGGCGGCAUCCUGGACUGGUCCUGACACUCAUGAGCGAAAGCGUGGGGAGCGAGCCGG
Molecule: ribosomal RNA, 253 nt
Filed under: uncultured bacterium
Lineage: Bacteria
Description: partial 16S ribosomal RNA
Rfam family: Bacterial small subunit ribosomal RNA
Source: RNAcentral